AUUGAACGCUGGCGGCAUGCCUUACACAUGCAAGUCGAGCGGCAGCGCGGGGGCGAACCCUCGCGGCGAGCGGCGGACGGGUGAGUAAUACAUCGGAACGUGUCCUGUCGUGGGGGAGUAACCAGUCGAAAGACUGGCUAAUACCGCAUGAGAUCGAAAGAUGAAAGCGGGGACCGGCAAGGCCUCGCGCGAUUGGAGCGGCCGAUGCCGGAUUAGCUAGUUGGCGGGGUAAAAGGCCCACCAAGGCUACGAUCCGUAGCUGGUUUGAGAGAACGACCAGCCACACUGGGACUGAGACACGGCCCAGACUCCUACGGGAGGCAGCAGUGGGGAAUUUUGGACAAUGGGCGCAAGCCUGAUCCAGCCAUGCCGCGUGU
RNAcentral lists this ribosomal RNA (377 nucleotides) under uncultured bacterium. RNAcentral describes it as "bacterial SSU rRNA". It matches the Rfam family "Bacterial small subunit ribosomal RNA", at positions 29 to 404 of the family's 1533-position model. The record is from RNAcentral.